RNAcentral lists this ribosomal RNA (142 nucleotides) under Lactococcus cremoris. The record is from RNAcentral. Lineage: Bacteria; Bacillati; Bacillota; Bacilli; Lactobacillales; Streptococcaceae.
UGGUCAUCAUUGCGAUGGAGAUACACCUGUUCCCAUGUCGAACACAGAAGUUAAGUCCAUCUACGGCGGAAGUACUUGGGGGUUGCCCCCUGGGAGAUAUGCGAGUGGCCAAGUUUGGGAGUUUAGCUCAGCUGGGAGAGCA